RNAcentral lists this ribosomal RNA (490 nucleotides) under uncultured bacterium. RNAcentral's name for it is "partial 16S ribosomal RNA". It matches the Rfam family "Bacterial small subunit ribosomal RNA", at positions 30 to 507 of the family's 1533-position model. The record is from RNAcentral.
AUUGAACGCUGGCGGCAUGCCUUACACAUGCAAGUCGAACGGCAGCAUGAUCUAGCUUGCUAGAUUGAUGGCGAGUGGCGAACGGGUGAGUAAUACAUCGGAACGUGCCCUGUAGUGGGGGAUAACUAGUCGAAAGAUUAGCUAAUACCGCAUACGACCUGAGGGUGAAAGUGGGGGACCGCAAGGCCUCAUGCUAUAGGGGCGGCCGAUGUCUGAUUAGCUAGUUGGUGAGGUAAAGUCUCACCAAGGCGACGAUCAGUAGCUGGUCUGAGAGGACGAUCAGCCACCCUGGGACUGAGACACGGCCCAGACUCCUACGGGAGGCCGCAGUGGGGAAUUUUGGACAAUGGGCGAAAGCCUGAUCCAGCAAUGCCGCGUGUGUGAAGAAGGCCUUCGGGUUGUAAAGCACUUUUGUCCGGAAAGAAAUGGCUCUGGUUAAUACCUGGGGUGGAUGACGGUACCGGAAGAAUAAGGACCGGCUAACUACGUG